UUUUCUUUCUAGUACAGUUUUUUACUUGAAGAUUUCAUACCUCGAUGUGUGUGUGUGUGUGUAUGUGUGUGUUUGUGUGUCUGUUGAGGUUUUUGAUGGGUUUUGAAACCAUAGGUAUGUUUCUUAGAUUAAAACAAAAACAAAGCCCAUAAAUAUACAGAAAACAUAUUUAAUUAUAAAAUAUCAAUUUUAAAAAUAUGAUUAUCCCUAUUGGGUAUCAAACCUACAGUGACAACGUACAUUCUUACAAAUGGAGGCCAAUUUUUGAUCAAGCUGUAGAAUAGUCUCCUCUUUUUCGUUUGCAGUCUUCUUGUAUAAACCACCACCGUCAGGCACAGAUGUGCCCUUUCUAGAUCAGAAUACGGUUGUGACUACAGUUCCAUUAGAAUGUGACCUCAACAAAUUAGGAAAUGAAGACUGAAACAGAAAAAGAGGAGACUAUUCUACAGCUUGAUCAAAAAUUGGCCUCCAUUUGUAAGAAUGUACGUUGUCACUAUCAGACUUGGGCCAACUUUGUCUACUUAGAACGUGGAAGAAAUAGAUCAGUGAGCAUCAACAAAAGUAAGAAUUUUACUGAUUAAAAAAAUGUUGAAGUUCAUACCCAUUUGAAAUUUCAUAACAAUAAGGUUACUUACUAAGUUUUAUUAUCAGCUUUCCCUUGGGUUUCAUUUUUACAAGCAGUGUGUUACAUACACUGUGAUCAGAAUAACAGAGUAAAGGCCUGGGAGGAAACCUCACUCAGAAGCACCAGUAGUUCCCAGAAUUCGAGAGAUUAUGUUUUGUGGUAAUCGGCAGCCAAGGGUGAUUCAAGAAAUGAGUAGCAUUUAUAAAGUGAAAUGCAAGAAGGAAUGAAUUAGAGUUGGGCAAGCGAGCACACUUGACGAUUAGAGAAGUAGAGGAACAGUGGAUCAGUAGUUAUCAGACCGACCGACUUAAACCAGGAACAUAGAAACUCCAGAGAACAAAGCCAGGUGGGCACCCAGGUAUCUGAGAAGCAGGAGUCAUAGCAACCAAAGAGACAGUUCGUGAUGAACAGGAGAACAAACACACACAUGAUACAUCGAUUCAGAAGCAAUCUCCCUCACAACCAGCCAGACACACUUUAAAUGCUUCUUCCUGUUAGAGCCAAGGCUGAAAGGAGCUUAGGCUUUCUGUGUCCUAUUGGAGGAAGCAGGGAACUGAA
This 1183-nucleotide long non-coding RNA is filed under the name Camelus dromedarius (Arabian camel). RNAcentral describes it as "lncRNA (ENSCDRG00005008194.1)". Lineage: Eukaryota; Metazoa; Chordata; Mammalia; Artiodactyla; Camelidae. The record is from RNAcentral.